Phyllostomus hastatus (greater spear-nosed bat) is the source of this 724-nucleotide RNA transcript. It is a transcript of the gene named coiled-coil-helix-coiled-coil-helix domain containing 7, with no coding region annotated. The record is from RefSeq and is a predicted model, not a curated record. NCBI's taxonomy places the organism in Eukaryota, Metazoa, Chordata, Mammalia, Chiroptera, Phyllostomidae. The transcript is spliced from 6 exons.
UCUGGCAGCGGCGCACGCUGAUUGGACUGGCGGCCUCUCAGGAGCGGGGGCAGCAAGUUUGGAUGCGCGCUACUUAAAGUCCAGCUGCGUGAGCUAUUGACGUGUUUGGAGUUGGAGAUUGCCUGGUCACUGGUAUAGUGGCACCCCGAGGUUGAAGCAAGGUGUGUUUCCUGUGCCCGCCGUCCACCGUUAGACGGACUGGCAGCAUCGCGGAGGGCAGCAAGGACUCGGACUUUAUCUCUCCGGUUUCUCCGUUCGAGUUCCCCGCCUCCCUCCGUAAGAAGACUGUUAGGAUGCCAAUGGUAACACGGCGACUGAGAGAUCCUGACACAAAUCCUUGCUUGUUGGAAUCUGAUGCUUCUGCCAGGUGUAUGGAUGAAAAUAACUAUGACAAGGAAAGGUGUUCCACUUACUUCUUGAGGUACAAAAACUGCCGGAAAUUCUGGGUGUUAUUUUAGCCCUAAACAAUCCUUGAGAGCUCUUCUCAGUUGCCUUAUCCUACUCCAAGGCAUAAGGAUGCAGUUCAAAUCAUAGAGAAUUCUGUCAUGAUGCAGAGAAGACAGAAUGGAGUAAAGCCACCUAUGCCUACAGCAGCAGAAAGAGAUGAAAUCUUGGGAGCAAUGGGAAAGAUGCCCUAUUGAAUGUUUGCAUUAAAAUUGUUUAUUUAACUUAAAAGCAGAUAAAUAUUUUUAAUAAAUGAUUACUGUAACCUUUUAAGACCUUA